AUCAAAAUGUUCAUUCACUUCGGUUCUCACUCAUCACAAUCCUCUGCCUAAUCUGAUUUUAUACCUUCCUUUGAAUAUUCGCUGCUUCAUAAUGACUAUAAAUUCUAAAUUGAUUCAAACCUGACCUUCAUAUUUUCAUCGACACAUUCAGUCUUUCUUUUACGGUUUUAAAUAUGAUAUCAAGCAUCAACGUCUCUCCAACACUCUGGUAAUGGCAAUAUUUGUGGUUAUAAAACAGCCACCAGGAGCACAGCGUAACCAUAAUAGAACAGCUGGCUUUUGAGAGCGCUCGCCUGCAACUGUGGCCUACCAUUUGUAGGGCGAGUGGUUGCCCAUGACAGUUCCAGCUGUCAUCAUCCGGUCACACAGAGGCUGCAGGCGGGCUCAAGCAUAUACCUACAUAGUAGAUUUCCUUUUCGUGGCCGAAGUGCCUGGAUCCUCGGGGCUUAACUUGAUGGCAUUUGCAGGUUUGGGAGGCAGCUGUAAAUGACAAGCAGCGCACACCAUCUGUGACUGGGCCGUACAGCGUUUGACAGAAUAGACACUAGUAGUGUCCAUGAGCCCGUAACAAAUAUAUCCGAGUGUUCCAAUAGCCUCGAGCUUUUUAACAGCUGAUUGAGAUCUGUUCAAAAUUGAAGAUAUAGAGAGGAUAUACUUAUCUCUCUAAAAAGAUUUGAUCAAGUCGCUGAUCUUUAUAUUAAUAUUAAUUUUACGAUAUGCCUUUCAUGAUCUGGAAAAGGUAUACGGAAUUAAUUGCCAUAGUUCGAUCCACACAUUUUCGAUCAAACUGCAUUGCUUUUCCCUUGUCUAUCCUUAGGCUUGAGUCUUGAAAAAGACCUUUCAGUAAUUUUUAAAAACUGUGAAGAUGACGCUCCCGAAGGUAAAACCAUGCAGUAUUAUAGAAGUGCUGAUAGCUAUAUUUUGAACAUGAUUGGAUACUUCAAGAGACUGUCACAACUGACAUAAAUUCGUGUCCAUCACAAAAUAAAAACUGAG
This 996-nucleotide small RNA is filed under the name Histoplasma capsulatum. RNAcentral's name for it is "hypothetical RNA". RNAcentral also lists the same sequence under 1 other name. Lineage: Eukaryota; Fungi; Ascomycota; Eurotiomycetes; Onygenales; Ajellomycetaceae. The record is from RNAcentral.